UACGUAGGGGGCUAGCGUUGUCCGGAAUCAUUGGGCGUAAAGAGCGUGUAGGCGGCCCGGUAAGUCCGCUGUGAAAGUCGGGGGCUCAACCCUCGGAUGCCGGUGGAUACUGUCGGGCUAGAGUACGGAAGAGGCGAGUGGAAUUCCUGGUGUAGCGGUGAAAUGCGCAGAUAUCAGGAGGAACACCGAUUGCGAAGGCAGCUCGCUGGGACGUUACUGACGCUGAGACGCGAAAGCGUGGGGAGCAAACAGG
This 253-nucleotide ribosomal RNA is filed under the name uncultured bacterium. Its description in RNAcentral is "partial 16S ribosomal RNA". It matches the Rfam family "Bacterial small subunit ribosomal RNA", at positions 524 to 776 of the family's 1533-position model. The record is from RNAcentral.